RNAcentral lists this ribosomal RNA (495 nucleotides) under uncultured bacterium. Its description in RNAcentral is "partial 16S ribosomal RNA". It matches the Rfam family "Bacterial small subunit ribosomal RNA", at positions 28 to 507 of the family's 1533-position model. The record is from RNAcentral.
GACGAACGCUGGCGGCGUGCCUAAUACAUGCGAGUAGAACGCUGAAGGAGGAGCUUGCUUCUCUGGAUGAGUUGCGAACGGGUGAGUAACGCGUAGGUAACCUGCCUGGUAGCGGGGGAUAACUAUUGGAAACGAUAGCUAAUACCGCAUAAUAGUAGAUGUUGCAUGACAUUUGCUUAAAAGGUGCAAUUGCCUCACUACCAGAUGGACCUGCGUUGUAUUAGCUAGUUGGUGGGGUAACGGCUCACCAAGGCGACGAUACAUAGCCGACCUGAGAGGGUGAUCGGCCACACUGGGACUGAGACACGGCCCAGACUCCUACGGGAGGCAGCAGUAGGGAAUCUUCGGCAAUGGACGGAAGUCUGACCGAGCAACGCCGCGUGAGUGAAGAAGGUUUUCGGAUCGUAAAGCUCUGUUGUAAGAGAAGAACGAGUGUGAGAGUGGAAAGUUCACACUGUGACGGUAUCUUACCAGAAAGGGACGGCUAACUACGUG